AGAGUUUGAUCUGGCUCAGGAUGAACGCUGGCGGCGUGCCUAACACAUUCAAGUCGAACGGAUAAGUUCCUUCGGGAGCUUGUCAGUGGCGGACGGGUGAGUAACGCGUGAGCAACCUGCCCCGAGGUGCGGGAUAACACCGGGAAACCGAUGCUAAUACCGCAUGAUGCAACGAAAUCACAUGGUUUUGUUGCCAAAGAUUCAUUGCCUUGGGAUGGGCUCGCGUCUGAUUAGACAGUUGGUGAGGUAACGGCUCACCAAAUCAACGAUCAGUAGCCGGACUGAGAGGUUGACCGGCCACAUUGGAACUGAGAAACGGUCCAGACUCCUACGGGAGGCAGCAGUGGGGAAUAUUGGGCAAUGGGCGAAAGCCUGACCCAGCGACGCCGCGUGAGGGAUGAAGGUCUUCGGAUUGUAAACUUCUGUCGUCAGGGAAGAAGAAUGACGGUACCUGAUGAGAAAGCCACGGCUAACUACGUGCCAGCAGCCGCGGUAAUACGUAGGUGGCAAGCGUUAUCCGGAUUUACUGGGUGUAAAGGGUGUGUAGGCGGGACUGCAAGUCAGAUGUGAAACUUAUGAGCUCAACUCAUAACCUGCAUUUGAAACUGUGGUUCUUGAGAGUCGGAGAGGUAAACGGAAUUCCUGGUGUAGCGGUGAAAUGCGUAGAUAUCAGGAGGAACACCGGUGGCGAAGGCGGUUUACUGGACGACAACUGACGCUGAGACACGAAGGCGUGGGGAGCAAACAGGAUUAGAUACCCUGGUAGUCCACGCGGUAAACGAUGAAUAUUGGGUGUAGGGCUCGUCGGGGUUCUGUGCCGCAGUUAACACAAAUAAACAUUCCGCCUGGGGAGUACGGGCCGCAAGGUUGAAACUCAAAGGAAUUGACGGGAGCCCGCACAAGCAGUGGAGUAUGUGGUUUAAUUCGACGCAACGCGAAGAAACCUUACCGGAGCUUGACAUCCUGAGAAGACUGGUGUAAUGCCGGUUGUGCCCCUUCGGGGGAAUUCAGAGACAGGUGGUGUAUGGUUGUCGUCAGCUCGUGUCGUGAGAUGUUGGGUUAAGUCCCGCAACGAGCGCAACCCUUACGGUUAAUUGCUACGCAAGAGCACUUUAGCCGGACUGCCGUUGAUAAAACGGAGGAAGGUGGGGAUGACGUCAAAUCAUCAUGCCCCUUACGCCCCGGGCUACACACGUACUACAAUGGCGUAAACAAAGGGAAGCGAAGCCGCGAGGCAGAGCAAACCCCGGAAAAUACGUCCCAGUUCGGACUGCAGGCUGCAACUCGCCUGCACGAAGUUGGAAUUGCUAGUAAUCGCGGAUCAGCAUGCCGCGGUGAAUACGUUCCCGGGCUUUG
RNAcentral lists this ribosomal RNA (1356 nucleotides) under uncultured bacterium. RNAcentral's name for it is "bacterial SSU rRNA". It matches the Rfam family "Bacterial small subunit ribosomal RNA", at positions 8 to 1383 of the family's 1533-position model. The record is from RNAcentral.